CUAAAGCGUGGGUAGCAAACAGGAUUAGAUACCCUGGUAGUCCACGCCCUAAACGAUGUCCGCUAGCUAUUGGGCGUAGGCUCAGUGGCGAAGUUAACGCGUUAAGCGGACCGCCUGGGGAGUACGGUCGCAAGAUUAAAACUCAAAGGAAUUGACGGGGACCCGCACAAGCGGUGGAUGAUGUGGUUUAAUUCGAUGCAACGCGAAAAACCUUACCUGCUCUUGACAUGUUCGGAAUCCCGCAGAGAUGCGGGAGUGCCUUCGGGAACCGAAACACAGGUGUUGCAUGGCUGUCGUCAGCUCGUGUCGUGAGAUGUUGGGUUAAGUCCCGCAACGAGCGCAACCCUUGUCGUUAGUUGCCAGCAUUAAGUUGGGUACUUUAACGAAACUGCCGGUGACAAACCGGAGGAAGGUGGGGACGACGUCAAGUCCUCAUGGCCCUUAUGAGCAGGGCUACACACGUCAUACAAUGGUUGGUACAACGGGUAGCAAACUCGCGAGAGUAAGCAAACCUCUAAAAGCCAAUCGUAGUCCGGAUCGUAGUCUGCAACUCGACUACGUGAAGUCGGAAUCGCUAGUAAUCGCGGAUCAGCAUGUCGCGGUGAAUACGUUCCCGGGUCUUGUACACACCGCCCGUCACACCAUGGGAGUGAAAGAUACCAGAAGCAGGUAGUUUAACCUUUCGG
This 686-nucleotide ribosomal RNA is filed under the name uncultured bacterium. Its description in RNAcentral is "bacterial SSU rRNA". It matches the Rfam family "Bacterial small subunit ribosomal RNA", at positions 754 to 1446 of the family's 1533-position model. The record is from RNAcentral.